UCAAUGACCACGGUUGGGACUCUGUCCCUU
Molecule: small RNA, 30 nt
Filed under: Bombyx mori (domestic silkworm)
Lineage: Eukaryota; Metazoa; Arthropoda; Insecta; Lepidoptera; Bombycidae
Description: piRNA piR-bmo-1995441
Source: RNAcentral